Molecule: ribosomal RNA, 305 nt
Filed under: uncultured bacterium
Lineage: Bacteria
Description: partial 16S ribosomal RNA
Rfam family: Bacterial small subunit ribosomal RNA
Source: RNAcentral
ACAGCAGCAGCCGCGGUAAUACGGAGGGUGCAAGCGUUAAUCGGAAUUACUGGGCGUAAAGCGCACGCAGGCGGUCUGACAAGUCAGAUGUGAAAUCCCCGGGCUUAACCUGGGAACUGCAUUUGAAACUGUCAGGCUGGAGUCUUGUAGAGGGGGGUGGAAUUCCAGGUGUAGCGGUGAAAUGCGUAGAGAUCUGGAGGAAUACCGGUGGCGAAGGCGGCCCCCUGGACAAAGACUGACGCUCAGGUGCGAAAGCGUGGGGAGCAAACAGGAUUAGAUACCCCGGUAGUCCCUGUCUCUUAUAA